This 582-nucleotide ribosomal RNA is filed under the name uncultured eukaryote. RNAcentral's name for it is "bacterial SSU rRNA". It matches the Rfam family "Bacterial small subunit ribosomal RNA", at positions 338 to 916 of the family's 1533-position model. The record is from RNAcentral.
CCUACGGGAGGCAGCAGUAAGGAAUAUUGGGCAAUGGACGCAAGUCUGACCCAGCCAUCCCGCGUGCAGGACGAAUGCCCUAUGGGUUGUAAACUGCUUUUGUUUGGGAAGAAAUGUAUUCUUUUAAGAGUAUUUGACGGUACCAGACGAAUAAGCACCGGCUAACUCCGUGCCAGCAGCCGCGGUAAUACGGAGGGUGCAAGCGUUAUCCGGAAUCACUGGGCAUAAAGCGUCUGUAGGUGGUUUGGUAAGUCUGCUGUUAAAGACUGGGGCUCAACCCCAGAAAAGCAGUGGAAACUGCUAGACUUGAGUGUGGUAGAGGUAGAGGGAAUUCCUAGUGUAGCGGUGAAAUGCGUAGAUAUUAGGAAGAACACCAAUGGCGAAGGCACUCUACUGGGCCAUAACUGACACUGAGAGACGACAGCUAGGGGAGCAAAUGGGAUUAGAUACCCCAGUAGUCCUAGCCGUAAACGAUGGAUACUAGAUGUUGCACGUAUUAACCCGUGCAGUAUCGUAGCUAAGGCGUUAAGUAUCCCGCCUGGGAAGUACGCUCGCAAGAGUGAAACUCAAAUGAAUUGACGG